Columba livia (rock pigeon) is the source of this 1146-nucleotide long non-coding RNA. RefSeq lists it as uncharacterized. NCBI's taxonomy places the organism in Eukaryota, Metazoa, Chordata, Aves, Columbiformes, Columbidae. The transcript is spliced from 3 exons. The record is from RefSeq and is a predicted model, not a curated record.
AGUAGUGAUCAUGUUUCCAAUAGAUUCAUGGACCAAGAGAUGGCAUUUCAACAAGCACAUGUUACUUCUUGAAGUGUUUUUUCUCCAUUACAGCCAAUUCCCAUAUUCUGCUUAUACAAAAAGCUUCUCCCUGCAGAAAUGCAUCUUGGCGAAGCCUGUCACUGGUGCUGACUUGCUGAGAGCCUCCAGGGUAUAAAAUGGAUGACAUGGAAAGCGGACAGGGUGGCCAGGACAGAUGCUGUCUGGCUAAUAGAGACAAUGUCCCCAUCUGUUAGGAGGAUUUCCUACAGUUCUGAAUGCUUGGUCCCCAUAUCUUCAAAUAUGCAACAGAUGGUGGGUUACAAAUGUGUAAAUCACUUGGAAGUUUGGACAGCAAAAUGUGAAAAGCAUUUUUUUUUGAAAAAAGCAAUUGUUGCUAACUUAGGGAAGGGUCUUACUGAACUCUGAAAGUUCCAUUUUCUGUGAGCAAAAUUGUUUCUUUUGCUUGUGCUUCCUGGUCAGUUCUAAGAGCAAAUAGUACAGAAGAACAAUGUUCCACAAGCAUGGCCACCACGUGAAAAGUUAUGAUUUUCCCAUAGCUGCUACCUCUCCACAGAUACGAAUAGCUAUUUUCUCUUGUAAAUACAGGUGAAUAAGGACAUUAUUUUUUCCAAAUACCAGUACCUGAUAAUCAUAGGUAAACACUGUCUCUUUUCUUCUUGGAAGUUCCACAUCAUUCAGACAUCACAACAGACAUAGACUUCAGCUGAAGUCACCUCAGUCUCACUCUAGGUAUGUUGACAGUGAACACCAGUGAAGGGAAGGAACCUUUGGAACGAGAUGUGGGGGAAAAGUAUUUAUCUUUCUGAGAAGAACUGCAAUUGUGGUGUCCUUGGAGAUCAGAAAGAAACAUGAUGGCAAACUGCAAAAGCAGAUGAAAAGACUGAUUUCAGUCUUCCAGAGGUUUGACUUACAGUUUGAGCUACCUUUCUGUGUUUGAAGAUUGUACCUUUCUGAAUUUUUACGAGACAUGUUUUCUGUUCAUGCCUAUGAGGUGUUUAGAAGAUUUAAUGCAUCUUCAAACUGUCCAAAUGCCCUCAACAGUGAUCCAGCAGCUGCAGCUUGCGAUUUGUCUCUAACAGCAAACCACGUAUUAAAUCAUUGCAG